AGAGUUUGAUCCUGGCUCAGGAUGAACGCUGGCGGUAUGCUUAACACAUGCAAGUCGAACGAAGUAGCAAUACUUAGUGGCGGACGGGUGAGUAACGCGUAAGAAUCUGCCCUCAGGUUCGGGAUAACGGGAGGAAACUGCCGCUAAUACCGGAUGUGUCUGAGAAGAGAAAGGUUAACUGCCUGAGGAUGAGCUUGCGUCAGAUUAGCUAGUUGGAGAGGUAACGGCUCACCGAGGCGACAAUCUGUAGCGGGUUUGAGAGGAUGACCCGCCACACUGGGACGGAGACACGGCCCAGACUCCUACGGGAGGCAGCAGUGGGGAAUUUUCCGCAAUGGGCGAAAGCCUGACGGAGCAAUACCGCGUGCGGGAUGAAGGUCUGUGGAUUGUAAACCGCUUUUCUCUGGGACGAUGAUGACGGUACCAGAGGAAUCAGCCUCGGCUAACUCCGUGCCAGCCGCCGCGGUAAUAC
RNAcentral lists this ribosomal RNA (472 nucleotides) under uncultured bacterium. RNAcentral's name for it is "bacterial SSU rRNA". It matches the Rfam family "Bacterial small subunit ribosomal RNA", at positions 8 to 526 of the family's 1533-position model. The record is from RNAcentral.